RNAcentral lists this ribosomal RNA (712 nucleotides) under Coccotrema hahriae. RNAcentral describes it as "SSU rRNA". It matches the Rfam family "Bacterial small subunit ribosomal RNA", at positions 460 to 1217 of the family's 1533-position model. Lineage: Eukaryota; Fungi; Ascomycota; Lecanoromycetes; Pertusariales; Coccotremataceae. The record is from RNAcentral.
AUUAUGAUAAUGACGUUUUUUGCUUUUAAGUCUUGACCAAGUCACGUGCCAGCAGUCGCGGUAAUACGUGGAAGACUAGUGUUAUUCAUCUUUAUUAGGUUUAAAGCGUACCUAGACGGUAAAUUAAGCCUCAAAAGGGGAACUAAUAAACUAGAGUUUUAGAUAAGAGGGGGAGUACUAAUGGAGUAGAGAUGAAAUUCUGUUAUACCAUUAUUGGAACUGAUGACAGCGAAAGCAAUCCUUUAUGUAAAAACUGACGUUGAAGGACGAAGGCUCGAGACACGAACAGGAUUAGAUACCCUAGUAGUUCGGGCAGACAAUGAUGAAUGUCAUAGGUUAGAAAAUUUUUAGUCUAUAAAUGAAAGUGUAAGCAUUCCACCUCAAGAGUAAUGUGGCAACGCAGAAACUGAAAUCAUUAGACCGUUUUUGAAACCAGUAGUGAAGUAUGUUGUUUAAAUAGAUAUUACGCACAAAACCUUACCACAAUUUGUAUAUUUAUAAGGUUUUCUUAUAAUUACAGGAGUUGCACGGCUGUUUUCAGUUAAUGUCGUGAGAUUUUGGUUAGUUCCAUAAAAUUAACGUAAACCCUUACUUUAUUUAAAAAAAAAUUAACAAUAAAAAAUUUAAAUUUAAAAUAAAGUGGCUCGCCGCUAUAUUGGAUAUGCUAAGAGGGACUAAGACAAGUCAUCAUGACCUUAAUAUUUUGGGCUAA